AUCUUUAGGGGGCCUGAGAGGGUGAUCCCCCACACUGGUACUGAGACACGGACCAGACUCCUACGGGAGGCAGCAGUGAGGAAUAUUGGACAAUGGGUUAGCGCCUGAUCCAGCCAUCCCGCGUGAAGGACGACGGCCCUAUGGGUUGUAAACUUCUUUUGUACAGGGAUAAACCUACUCUCGUGAGAGUAGCUGAAGGUACUGUACGAAUAAGCACCGGCUAACUCCGUGCCAGCAGCCGCGGUAAUACGGAGGGUGCAAGCGUUAUCCGGAUUUAUUGGGUUUAAAGGGUCCGUAGGCGGAUCUGUAAGUCAGUGGUGAAAUCUCACAGCUUAACUGUGAAACUGCCAUUGAUACUGCAGGUCUUGAGUAAGGUAGAAGUGGCUGGAAUAAGUAGUGUAGCGGUGAAAUGCAUAGAUAUUACUUAGAACACCAAUUGCGAAGGCAGGUCACUAUGUCUUAACUGACGCUGAUGGACGAAAGCGUGGGGAGCGAA
Molecule: ribosomal RNA, 496 nt
Filed under: Chryseobacterium sp.
Lineage: Bacteria; Pseudomonadati; Bacteroidota; Flavobacteriia; Flavobacteriales; Weeksellaceae
Description: bacterial SSU rRNA
Rfam family: Bacterial small subunit ribosomal RNA
Source: RNAcentral